Molecule: ribosomal RNA, 250 nt
Filed under: uncultured prokaryote
Description: partial 16S ribosomal RNA
Rfam family: Bacterial small subunit ribosomal RNA
Source: RNAcentral
UACGUAGGGUGCAAGCGUUAAUCGGAAUUACUGGGCGUAAAGCGUGCGCAGGCGGCUAUGCAAGACAGAUGUGAAAUCCCCGGGCUCAACCUGGGAACUGCAUUUGUGACUGCAUGGCUAGAGUACGGUAGAGGGGGAUGGAAUUCCGCGUGUAGCAGUGAAAUGCGUAGAUAUGCGGAGGAACACCGAUGGCGAAGGCAAUCCCCUGGACCUGUACUGACGCUCAUGCACGAAAGCGUGGGGAGCAAAC